GCCCGGGUGGCGGAACUGGCAGACGCGGGGGACUCAAAAUCCCCUGCCCUUACGGGCGUGCGGGUUCGAGUCCCGCCCCGGGCACCA
This 87-nucleotide transfer RNA is filed under the name Thermovibrio ammonificans HB-1. RNAcentral describes it as "tRNA-Leu (CAA) (tRNA-Leu-CAA-1-1)". It matches the Rfam family "tRNA". Rfam says of the family: Transfer RNA (tRNA) molecules are approximately 80 nucleotides in length. Lineage: Bacteria; Pseudomonadati; Aquificota; Aquificia; Desulfurobacteriales; Desulfurobacteriaceae. The record is from RNAcentral.